CGCCAUUUAAAGUGGUACGCGAGCUGGGUUUAGAACGUCGUGAGACAGUUCGGUUCCUAUCUACCGUGGACGUUGGAGACUUGAGAAGAGCUGUUCCCAGUACGAGAGGACCGGAAUGGACGAACCUCUGGUGUUCCGGUUGUCACGCCAGUGGCAUUGCCGGGUAGCUAAGUUCGGAAGGGAUAACCGCUGAAAGCAUCUAAGCGGGAAGCCCCCUUCAGGAUGAGGUCUCCCUGACCUUUAAGGUCACUAAAGAGCCGUUUAAGACUAAGACGUUGAUAGGCAGGAUGUGUAAGUGCGGUAACGUAUUGAGCUAACCUGUACUAAUGACUCGUGAGGCUUGAUCAU
RNAcentral lists this ribosomal RNA (348 nucleotides) under Endozoicomonadaceae bacterium. RNAcentral's name for it is "partial 23S ribosomal RNA". It matches the Rfam family "Bacterial large subunit ribosomal RNA", at positions 2582 to 2925 of the family's 2925-position model. Lineage: Bacteria; Pseudomonadati; Pseudomonadota; Gammaproteobacteria; Oceanospirillales; Endozoicomonadaceae. The record is from RNAcentral.